GCCGAUGUGGCUUAGGGGUAGAGCAGCUGAUUCGUAAUCAGCAGGUCGGGAGUUCAAAUCUCCCCAUCGGCUCCA
Molecule: transfer RNA, 75 nt
Filed under: Syntrophomonadaceae bacterium
Lineage: Bacteria; Bacillati; Bacillota; Clostridia; Eubacteriales; Syntrophomonadaceae
Description: tRNA-Thr
Rfam family: tRNA
About the family: Transfer RNA (tRNA) molecules are approximately 80 nucleotides in length. Their secondary structure includes four short double-helical elements and three loops (D, anti-codon, and T loops).
Source: RNAcentral